Molecule: ribosomal RNA, 373 nt
Filed under: uncultured organism
Description: bacterial SSU rRNA
Rfam family: Bacterial small subunit ribosomal RNA
Source: RNAcentral
CGAAGGGGGGCCUAGCGUUGCUCGGAAUCACGUGGGCGUAAAGCGCACGUAGGCGGAUGGUUAAGUCAGGGGUGAAAUCCUGGAGCUCAACUCCAGAACUGCCCUUGAUACUGGCCAUCUCGAGUCCGGAAGAGGUAAGUGGAACUCCGAGUGUAGAGGUGAAAUUCGUAGAUAUUCGGAAGAACACCAGUGGCGAAGGCGGCUUACUGGUCCGGUACUGACGCUGAGGUGCGAGAGCGUGGGGAGCAAACAGGAUUAGAUACCCUGGUAGUCCACGCCGUAAACGAUGGAGGCUAGCCGUUGGUGAGCAUGCUCAUCAGUGGCGCAGCUAACGCAUUAAGCCUCCCGCCUGGGGAGUACGGUCGCAAGAUUA